RNAcentral lists this transfer RNA (66 nucleotides) under Nestor notabilis (Kea). Its description in RNAcentral is "tRNA-Phe". The record is from RNAcentral. Lineage: Eukaryota; Metazoa; Chordata; Aves; Psittaciformes; Psittacidae.
GUCCCUGUAGCUUAAACCAAAAGCAUGGUGCUGAAGACGCCAAGAUGGGUACUUCCCCCCAAGGAC